GAUUGUCCAGGCUGGGACUGUCCAGGCUGGAGGCCCGCGGGAAGCACGGAAAAUCUGAGCAGCCAGUUCAAGGGAUCAGUGAGAGGAAAGAGAACUUUCCUGGCAGGUUGCUGUUCCAGCCUGGGGAUUUAAGAGCACCCUGGAGCUACAAAGUUUAUUAGAACCCAUAAGAAGAACUGUACCAUAAACGGGACAACUGUGGCCAUAAACCUGCACCUUGAAGUUGUAACAAAUCCUGGGAUGUUGAAGUAGGACACGGUCUUGUCUCAGUCAGCAGAAAGGAAAAGAAAAAAAAAAGGAAAGAAAGAGAAGAAAUGCAAACUUAAGCAGAAAUGAGGCCUGGAAAUAUAGAGAGGAAGAAAGGGGGAAAAAAAAUAAUAAUAAAGCAAAGCGUGGUGCUUGCAGAGCCCGCUCAGCUGGAGCCCUGGGCCAGGUGCCCAUGGGAUGCAACUCAGAUUAAUGGGGAGAGAGAGAGCAGGGAGCUGCAGGAGGAGGGGAGAGGUGAAAGGAAGGAGGUGCUGGGGGGAUUCGCGAGGCCAGGGAGGGUCCCUGCACUGAGGGAGGCGAUGCUGCUCACGGGGCUCAAGGCAGGUGAGCAGCUCGGUGCCUCCUGUCACCUUGGGGUGAGCCCCAAAGGAGGAACAGCCGGAGGGGACAGUCCCAGGGGUUUGUGACAGAAGUGGGGGGAUGCUGCUGGGCGCCCCUCGCUGUGAGGGAGGAUGUGGUGGACAAUGGGUUUCCUGCACCUCUUCCCUCCGGGCUCUCCUCUCUUUAACUCCUCUGCUUUAUUUUACUGUCACUUAUUCAGGUCUCAUUUCCUUCAUCGGCAGCCAAAAGCUUUUCAGCGGCCGAGCCUCCGAGCUCUCGGCACUUGCCCAUGGCCAGCGAGGGGGGCCGGGCUGUGUGCUUGGAGCAUCCCCUGCCUCCCGCAGCCUCACAGGACUCGCGGGAUCCCUCCGGGCCCCCCGCACACCACAGCGGCUCAGGAGCCAGCAGAGCCCCGGCCCGCCCCGCCAGCCUGCACUCUUUUGUCACAUCGGGUUGUUUUUCCCGCUGUUGAAUAGAUUAAAUGACAGAGGGCUUUUUUUGUUUUUAAA
This is a long non-coding RNA of Haemorhous mexicanus (house finch), 1097 nucleotides long. RefSeq lists it as uncharacterized. NCBI's taxonomy places the organism in Eukaryota, Metazoa, Chordata, Aves, Passeriformes, Fringillidae. The record is from RefSeq and is a predicted model, not a curated record. The transcript is spliced from 2 exons.